UAGAUGAAGUUUCCUAUAAACUGCAAGGAGUUCAUUUCAUUUCUCUAAAUCAUCAUUUUUUUUUCUCCAAAGAACUCUUCUUCAUGUCCUCUUGUAGUAAAAUAUACAUUUUACCAUUUUUGAUUUGUUGUAAUCUCUUGUUUAAAAAGACCCAAAUGAUAGAUAGGAUUUUAUAGGGAUUAUCUCUCAAAAGACUAGAAGAAUCUGGAACCUAAAGGCUAAAAUCCUAAAUCGACGCAACAAUCUCUUCAUCAGGAAUUCGUCCAGUCGUCGGAAUCUUUGUGGGCUUAGAGAAUCCAGUGCAAUCCAUUGAACGACUGAAGAGUGAAAGGAUUCACGAUUUCACUCCAUCUCGCUGUUUAUCUUCUCUUCUCUACUGCAACUUCACAAGUAAGUUCGAAUUUUCCGGUUCGAUUUGCUUACACAAUCAUUCUGUAACAACAGAUUUAAACAUUAAAAUCGUUUCUUCACACAAUUAUGGUUCUUGCAACCAUACCUUCUUCAACGGUGCCCACAACCACCACGAACUAUAAUAAUUACAUCCAAGCAACCAACCAUCACCAUCGUCUCCUCCGCCUACUAAACCAGUGCACCUCCAUGUCUCAGCUCAAGCAAAUCCACGCCCAGACACUCAGAACCACCUCCACCACUAAUCCGCAUACGCUUUUCCUCCACAGUCGAAUCCUCCAUUUUUCAUCUCUCCACGACCUCCACUACGCGUCCUUGUUCUUCCAAACCCAUAUCCAAAACGCAAAUUCUUUCGCUUGGAACACCAUCAUUAGAGCUUGUUCUCGGAGCAACAAUCGUAAGCAAGAAGCCAUUUUACUCUACCUCAAAAUGCUAUCAGAAGGGAAUGUUACACCCGAUAAGCACACCUUCCCGUUUGUACUCAAAGCUUGCGCUUAUCUCUUUGCUAUUUCCGAGGGCAAACAGUUACACGCCCAUAUUUUCAAACUCGGACUCGCAUCAGAUGUAUAUAUCAACAACAGUCUAAUCCAUUUUUACGGAUCAUGUGGAAGCUUGGAGGACGCACGAGACGUGUUCGAUGAAAUGCCUGAAAGAACUGUGGUUUCUUGGAACGUCAUGAUUGACACCCUUGUACAAUUAAACCAGUUUGAUAAUGCAAUAACAUGUUUUCGUAACAUGCAACAAUGUUUCAAACCAGAUAGUUUCACAAUCCAGAGCAUCUUACGUGCUUGUGCUGGAUUGGGAGCUUUAUCACUCGGACUCUGGGCUCAUACAUAUAUCUUAAAAAGAUGCAACAUAGAAGUAGCUAACGAUGUUUUAGUCAAUAAUUGUCUUCUAGAUAUGUAUUUCAAAUGUGGGUCAUUAAAAGAUGCUAAAAUGGUGUUCAAAAAAAUGACAAAACAUGAUGUAACAUCAUGGAACACAAUGAUUCUUGGAUUCGCAAUGCAUGGAGAUGCGAAAUCAGCUUUACACUAUUUCAAACAAAUGGUUGAAGAAGAAAGAAUACUCCCUAAUUCCAUUACAUUUAAUGGGGUUUUAAGUGCUUGUAGACAUAGUGGAAUGGUCAACGAGGGUCAAACCUAUUUCACCAUUAUGACAACAAAGUAUGGGAUUGAGCCAGUUUUGGAGCAUUACGGGUGUUUGGUUGACCUUCUGGCUAGAUCCGGGCUCAUUGUUGAGGCACUAGAUGUGGUUUCCAAAAUGGUAAUUAAACCCGAUGUGGUGAUUUGGAGGAGUAUUCUUGAUGCUUGUUGGAAGAAAAAUGUGGGAAUUGAAGUUAGUGAAGAAAUGGGAAGAAAGAUUAUGGAGUGUGAAGAAGGGAGUAAGUUUAGUGGUGUUUAUGUGCUUUUAUCAAGAGUUUAUGCAGUGGCUUGUAAGUGGGAUGAGGUUGAUUAUGUGUGGAAGAUGAUGGCUGAUAAGGGUGUAAUCAAGGAGCCUGGUUGUAGUACUAUUGAGAUAGAUGGUGUUAGUCAUGAGUUUUUUUCAGGUUGCCACUCCACAUAACACACGUCACUUCUCACAUAUGACUUCAUUGUUGGAAUUGGUGCUCUCCAAAGUUGCAUGGAUGUAACGAAUAAAUGACAUUGGCUCAAGGGAUCAACAACCAGAAUUUAUGACCCAAAUUUGAUCACAAAGGUUUUCACUAAAGAAGACAUUGUGCCAUUGAUUUUGAUUAGGAAGUCUAUCGAUUCCGACAACAGAAGCAUCAAUUUCAAACUGAAAAAACGUUAGUAAAAUUCGGUAAAUGUAAUACAGGAGCUUGUAUUACAAUAGUAUUCAAAA
Molecule: RNA transcript, 2250 nt
Organism: Lactuca sativa (garden lettuce)
Lineage: Eukaryota; Viridiplantae; Streptophyta; Magnoliopsida; Asterales; Asteraceae
Gene: CRR28
Gene name: Tetratricopeptide repeat (TPR)-like superfamily protein
Source: RefSeq, a predicted model, not a curated record